Long non-coding RNA from Cercocebus atys (sooty mangabey), 1834 nucleotides. RefSeq lists it as uncharacterized. The record is from RefSeq and is a predicted model, not a curated record. The transcript has 2 exons. NCBI's taxonomy places the organism in Eukaryota, Metazoa, Chordata, Mammalia, Primates, Cercopithecidae.
AUGCAUCAGUCUUAAAUACCACCUAAUUGUAAUGCACAGUAAACUGUUUUGUUUCAGUUUGCCUUUGGAUUUGUUUAUUUGAUUUUUAGGAUAAGGAGGGGUUUCCUUUCAUUUUUAGGGAAUUAAAAAAUUUACACUUACAGAAAUAGUAUCUAACAACCAGUUAAUAAAAUUUCAAGUUAAGCAUAUUUACAGUUGAAAUUACAAAUUUGAAAUUUUAGAAAAUGUUACAUUAUUUUCUGAAUAUCAUGUCUCCAACAGUCCAAAAAACGAAUAGUUUUGUGAAUGAAAAUGAUGCAGGAUUUACAUUAAGCUUUUCCAUCUCAAAGCUAUCAGUUGCAGGUUGUUAAUAUAUAAAUAACAGUGAACUUGAAAUACUUGGAACCCUGUAGAAGGUAAUUUUGACCUCAGAAUCACCAUGGGUUUAAUGAUUCACUAGGAAGACUCACAGGACUCAGCCUAAAGUCAUGUUCAUUGCUGUGAUUUAUUACAACAAAAAGGCAUAAAGCAGAAUCUGCAAAGGGACAAGACAAAUGAAGUCUAGAGGAAACCAGGCUCAAGCUUCUUUGAGUUAUUUCCUAACGGAGUCACACAGGAUAUGCUUAAUCCCACUAUUAAGGAGUUGUUACCACAUGUGUGAAAUAUUGUCUACCAGAGGAACUCACCUGAGCCUUGGAGUCCAGAGUUUUUAUUGGGAUCAGUUAUGCAGGCAUCCUCUGCUUUAGCAAGUACCAAAAUUCUAAACUCCCAAAAGGAAGGCAGGGGUUCAGCAUGAACUAUAUUCUUUGUACAAACCAAUUAGGCAGAGUAAAUCACCCUUCUCAGGGAAUAAUGAGCGUUUCUUGGACAUCAGCCAAGGGCCAACCUUGUAAGCAGAUCUUUGUAGGGAUAGCUGUAGCAGACCUGCUGUGUUAACUAUUUUCUGCAUAAGUAGUACUUACAAAACUUAUGAGAAAUUUUUAUUAGAAUAUUUAUUUAAAACAGAUUAUGAAGGCCACCUUUUUUGUUUUAGAAUUUGUAUUUCUUUAUUAAUCUGCAUUCUCUACCCUCACUCCAAGAGAAUCCUUCCUGGCAAAUUUAGGGAACUCAUAUUAAAGGAACUCUUCUAUAAAUUGAUAGUAUAUUCAAGAGUGUCCUUGUAGCUAUUGCUAGUAUUUCAUCGUUUGCUUUAAAAUUUAAAUACCUACUUUUUAAAAAAGUUGAUAUAUUUUGACUUAUUAUGAUAUAGAAGUGAAAGAAACAGUAAAAUUAAAAACAAGUUUUAUCUAUCUGUGGCAUAUGGGAUUUUUAGGCUUAUUUUCUGGGAAAAAUAACAGUUCUUGAAACCACAUGUUGUGAAAUACUUUACCACUGCUUGUGACAGCAAUCAUCUUCUGGGAAAGCACUGACUUUAAAUUCCCUACACAUCUAUUUAUGAGUGCAUCUAGGGGAUAUUUCUUGUGAUAGUAGGUUCAAGUUUUUCUUAAUAUAUUUUGUUCCUUCCUUCUAUUAGUAUCUAGGUUCCUCAUCUCGACACUCCUAAAAAUUCCUGUGAAUCUUAGAAUCUCCCAACCCCACUGGAACCUAUGAAUCCAGAUAAACAAAAAAGUACCAAUAAGGUGUGGUUAGUUCAGAAAUCUUUCAUUUGAAACCCAGAAGAAAAUGAAACUCAUGUCAAAGAUGAUAGAAAUAUAUAGUGCUAGUCUUGCAGCUUGAAGUUUAUCUGUUUUUAUGUUGUUUUGUAAGAAUAGUACAAAUAAUCUUUUUUUCUUUUGAUCUGUUUGCAAGUAAGUUGUCAAUAUGGUGCUGAUUCACUCCCAAAUAGUCCAUGGUCUUUUUUUUUUUUUUUUUUUUU